RNAcentral lists this ribosomal RNA (1083 nucleotides) under uncultured Actinomyces sp. Its description in RNAcentral is "bacterial SSU rRNA". It matches the Rfam family "Bacterial small subunit ribosomal RNA", at positions 282 to 1376 of the family's 1533-position model. The record is from RNAcentral. Lineage: Bacteria; Bacillati; Actinomycetota; Actinomycetes; Actinomycetales; Actinomycetaceae.
GGUAGCCGGCCUGAGAGGGUGACCGGCCACACUGGGACUGAGACACGGCCCAGACUCCUACGGGAGGCAGCAGUGGGGAAUAUUGCACAAUGGGCGCAAGCCUGAUGCAGCAACGCCGCGUGGGGGAUGACGGCCUUCGGGUUGUAAACCUCUUUUAGUAAGGAAGAAGGGGAGCUUGCUCCUUGACGGUACUUGCAGAAAAAGGACCGGCUAACUACGUGCCAGCAGCCGCGGUAAUACGUAGGGUCCGAGCGUUGUCCGGAAUUAUUGGGCGUAAAGAGCUCGUAGGCGGUUUGUCGCGUCUGCUGUGAAAUCCCGAGGCUCAACCUCGGGUCUGCAGUGGGUACGGGCAGACUGGAGUGCGGUAGGGGAGAAUGGAAUUCCUGGUGUAGCGGUGGAAUGCGCAGAUAUCAGGAGGAACACCGAUGGCGAAGGCAGUUCUCUGGGCCGUAACUGACGCUGAGGAGCGAAAGCGUGGGGAGCGAACAGGAUUAGAUACCCUGGUAGUCCACGCCGUAAACGUUGGGCGCUAGAUGUGGGGACCUUUCCACGGUUUCCGUGUCGUAGCUAACGCAUUAAGCGCCCCGCCUGGGGAGUACGGCCGCAAGGCUAAAACUCAAAGGAAUUGACGGGGGCCCGCACAAGCGGCGGAGCAUGCGGAUUAAUUCGAUGCAACGCGAAGAACCUUACCAAGGCUUGACAUAUACGAGAACACCGUAGAAAUACGGGACUCUUUGGACACUCGUAUACAGGUGGUGCAUGGUUGUCGUCAGCUCGUGUCGUGAGAUGUUGGGUUAAGUCCCGCAACGAGCGCAACCCUCGUCGCAUGUUGCCAGCACGUCAUGGUGGGAACUCAUGUGAGACUGCCGGGGUCAACUCGGAGGAAGGUGGGGAUGACGUCAAAUCAUCAUGCCCCUUAUGUCUUGGGCUUCACGCAUGCUACAAUGGCCGGGUACAAAGGGCUGCGAUGUCGUAGGCGGAGCGAAUCCCAAAAAGCCCGGUCUCAGUCGAUGGAGUCUGCACUCGACUCAGGAGUCGAAGUCGCUAGUAUCGCAGAUCAGAACUCACUAGUGAAAUUCCGCG